This 2693-nucleotide long non-coding RNA is filed under the name Macaca nemestrina (pig-tailed macaque). Its description in RNAcentral is "lncRNA (ENSMNEG00000045726.1)". The record is from RNAcentral. Lineage: Eukaryota; Metazoa; Chordata; Mammalia; Primates; Cercopithecidae.
UUCUGCCGCCACCUGAGCUUGCAUGUAAGGCCGCACCGAUACGCCAUUUCUUUUGCUGUGGUCACCACCGAGGCCAGGAGUUCAAGACCACCCCGGCCAACGUGGUGAAACCCCGUCUCUACUAAAAACACAAAAAUUAGCCGGGCGUGGCGAUGAGCACCUGUAAUCCCAGCUACUUGGGAGGCAGAGGCAGGAGACUUGUUUGAACCAGGGAGUCGGAGGUUGCAGUGAGCCGAGAUCAAGCCACUGCACUCCAGCCUGUGCGACAGACUGAAACUCUGUCUCAAAACAAAAACCAACUUUUUCGUUUUGUUUUGUUUUUUAAGAUACAGGGUCUCACUAUGUUAUCCAGGCUGAUCUCGAACUACUGGCCUCAGGCCAUCUUCCCACGUUGGCUUCCCAAAGCACUGAUUAUAGGCAUGAGCCACCAGACACUCGUCAGGCCGGAGCAGCAGGUGCUGCACAGAGCUGGGCCCAGAGAUCGCCAGCAGGGGACAGUUUAGACAUUCUGAUGUCGGCUCUGCUGAGGGGGGAAGUGGGUGAUUGGUGUCCACAAGCUAGAGCAUGAAAGGGGCUACCUCCCCUUCGAGGCUGACAGCAGCAGUCUAUUCCGGGUGGGGCCCCUGCCCUCCCGCCUCUGCGUCAUCAACUGUCGCCAUCAACAACACGCUCGCCCCCCACCCUGCCACCAGGGACCAUCCGUACACGACCGACAACUCCAAGUAUCCCAAGGGUUACUUUGUCCAGAACACAGACUUUGACUUCUUCAACUAUGCAGGACUACAGCGGUCUGUGCUUCUGUACACGACACCAACUACCUACAUCGAUGACAUCACCAUCACCACUGGUGUGGAGUGAGACAGAGGUGAGAGCUUCUGGUAGGAUCCUCCCUCAGCGGGGCUCAGGGUGGCUCUGUUUGUUACCUGUUUGGAAAGCUCUCCCAGGAAAAAGGUUCUCCCAGCAUCUCUAAACCUUCACAGGUUCCCAUCCACCUACGAAGCUAAAAUCCAGGCUGUCUGCGAGAUCACUCAUGUGGUUGAUCUUGCUUGGAGAAGAGGGGUCUGGCCUAACAUCACAUAGCUCAGGGUGGCAGCCCUGUCCCUUCCCCACGGUGCUGCUCUCACUCUAGCUCCCCUUGAUAUACAUCGUGCUCAAGGAACAGGCAGCUUCAGGGGGCCGGGUGCGGUGGCUCACGCCUGUCAUCCCAGCUCUUUGGUAGGAGGAUCACUUCAGGCCAAGAGUUCAAGACCAGGCUGGGCAACAUAGCAAGACCAUCAGCACAAAAAAUUUAAAAAUUCUCCAGUCAUGGUGAUGUGUGCUGGUAGUCCCAGCUGCUGAGACAGGAGAAUCAGUUGAGCCUGGGAGGUCAAGGGUGCAGUGAGCUGUGACCAUGUCACUGCACUCUGGUCUGGGCAACAGAGGGAGACCCUGUCUUUUUUGUUUGUAUUUGUUUUUGAGCUGGAGUCUCACUCUGUAGGAGCCCAGACUGGAGGGCACUGGUGCACUCUUGGGCUCACUGCAACCUCCACCUCCCAAGUUCAAGUGAUUCUCCUCCCUCAGCCUCCCUAGUAGCAGGGAUUACAGGCACCUUCCACCAUGUCCAGCCAAUUUUUGUGGUUUUUGUUUAGUAGAGACGGGGUUUCACCAUGUAGGCCUGGGUUGGUCUUGAACUCCUGACCUCAGAUGACUCACCUGCCUUGGCCUCCCAAAGUGCAAGGAUUACAGGUGUGAGCUACCGUGCAUGACUGGGAUACCUUGUUUUUAAGGAAAAAAAAUAUAUUUAUUUAUUUAUUUAUUUUUAAUAUAUCUUUUUCCUUUUGUGAGAUGAGGCCUUACACUGUCAACCAGGCUGGAUGGCAGUGGUACAAUGAUUGACAGCUGUUGUGGGGCCGCAGUUGUCAGUUUCAAAGAAUUUAGGCUGGGUGUGGUGGCUAAUGCCUGUCAUCCCAGCACUUUGGGAGGCCAUGGUGGGCGGAUCGCUUGAGCUCAAAGAUUAGAGACCAGCCUGGGCAACAUAGUGAGACCCUGUUUCAAAAAGAAUAAAUAAUUAAAAUAAAUAAAAAAUUUAAAUAAGAAACACACAGGAAAGGUGAUGCAGCAUAGAGCAAUUUAUUGUAAAGGGAAAAAUAUUUUGCAAGUGAAGUGCAGAAUAGCCCGGGCACAGUGGCUGACACCUGUAAUCCCAGCACUUUGGGAGGCUGAGGUGGGUGGAUGACCUGAGGCCAGGAGUUCUAGACCAGCCUGGCCAAUGUGGUGAAACCCCAUCUCACACUGUCUCCAAAAAAAAAAAAAAAAGACAGUAAGUGGUAGUACACACGUGUAAUCCCAGCUACUAGGGAAGCUGAGGCAGGAGAAUUGUUUGAACCCAGGAGGCAGAGGUUGCAGUGAACCAAGAUUGCCCCACUGCACUCCAGCCUGGGGAGCAGAGGGAGGCUCCCUCUCAAAAAAAAAAAUAAUAAUUAGCUGGGCGUGGUGGCAGGUGCCUGUAAUCCCAGCAACUCGGGAGGCUGAGGCAGGAGAAUAGCUUGAACUUGGUGGUCGGAGGUUGCAGUGAGCUGAGAUGGAGUCACUGCACUCCAGCAAUCCUGAGGAGACUUAAGAACUAAACAUAGUAUGGUCUCCUGGAUGAGAUCUUGGAACAGGAAAAGGACAUUAUGGGAAAUAGUAAAGAAAUCUGAAUCAAGAUAAACUUU